UCCAGAGCUUGAUAGGGACGAGGACGUAUACCUCAGGCAGUUUCCUCAUCUUCCCGAGGCUGGAGCCGAGUGGAUCGGGUCGGGUUUCUCUCAGCCGAUUGUGGAGGUCUUCGGCAGCAAGGUAUUGAGUGGCUUGCUGGGAAGGGGAUCGAUCACAACCUCCAGCAGCUGUUCAUCAUCCGAGACUCAUGGGAGCUCUGUUCGUGAAUUUUGGCAGUGGCUCACUGUGAGGAGUCCGGCCACAA
This is a long non-coding RNA of Zingiber officinale, 245 nucleotides long. RefSeq lists it as uncharacterized. Lineage: Eukaryota; Viridiplantae; Streptophyta; Magnoliopsida; Zingiberales; Zingiberaceae. The record is from RefSeq and is a predicted model, not a curated record. The transcript has 3 exons.